GUGGCAGCAGCGGCGGUAAUAAGUAGGUGGCCAAGCGUUGUCCGAAUUAUGGGCGUAAAGCGCGCGCAGGCGGUUUCUUAAGUCUGAUGUGAAAGCCCCCGGCUCAACCGGGAGGGUCAUUGAAACUGGGAAACUUGAGUGCAGAAGAGGAGAGUGGAAUUCCACGUGUAGCGGUGAAAUGCGUAGAGAUGUGGAGGAACACCAGUGGCGAAGGCGACUCUCUGGUCUGUAACUGACGCUGAGGCGCGAAAGCGUGGGGAGCGAACAGGAUUAGAUACCCUGGUAGUCCACGCCGUAAACGAUGAGUGCUAAGUGUUAGAGGGUUUCCGCCCUUUAGUGCUGCAGCUAACGCAUUAAGCACUCCGCCUGGGGAGUACGGUCGCAAGACUGAAACUCAAAGGAAUUGACGGGGGCCCGCACAAGCGGUGGAGCAUGUGGUUUAAUUCGAAGCAACGCGAAGAACCUUACCAGGUCUUGACAUCCUUUGCCACUUCUAGAGAUAGAAGGUUCCCCUUCGGGGGACAAAGUGACAGGUGGUGCAUGGUUGUCGUCAGCUCGUGUCGUGAGAUGUUGGGUUAAGUCCCGCAACGAGCGCAACCCUUGAUCUUAGUUGCCAGCAUUCAGUUGGGCACUCUAAGGUGACUGCCGGUGACAAACCGGAGGAAGGUGGGGAUGACGUCAAAUCAUCAUGCCCCUUAUGACCUGGGCUACACACGUGCUACAAUGGAUGGUACAAAGGGCUGCGAGACCGCGAGGUUUAGCCAAUCCCAUAAAACCAUUCUCAGUUCGGAUUGCAGGCUGCAACUCGCCUGCAUGAAGCUGGAAUCGCUAGUAAUCGCGGAUCAGCAUGCCGCGGUGAAUACGUUCCCGGGCCUUGUACACACCGCCCGUCACCACCCACGAAGCA
This 907-nucleotide ribosomal RNA is filed under the name Bacillus sp. CC-spc. Its description in RNAcentral is "bacterial SSU rRNA". It matches the Rfam family "Bacterial small subunit ribosomal RNA", at positions 505 to 1413 of the family's 1533-position model. The record is from RNAcentral. Lineage: Bacteria; Bacillati; Bacillota; Bacilli; Caryophanales; Bacillaceae.